UACGGAGGGGGUUAGCGUUGUUCGGAAUUACUGGGCGUAAAGCGCGCGUAGGCGGACCAGAAAGUUGGGGGUGAAAUCCCGGGGCUCAACCCCGGAACGGCCUCCAAAACUCCUGGUCUUGAGUUCGAGAGAGGUGAGUGGAAUUCCGAGUGUAGAGGUGAAAUUCGUAGAUAUUCGGAGGAACACCAGNGGCGAAGGCGGCUCACUGGCUCGAUGCUGACGCUGAGGUGCGAAAGUGUGGGGAGCAAACAGG
Molecule: ribosomal RNA, 253 nt
Filed under: uncultured bacterium
Lineage: Bacteria
Description: partial 16S ribosomal RNA
Rfam family: Bacterial small subunit ribosomal RNA
Source: RNAcentral